UGGGGAAUAUUGCACAAUGGAGGGAACUCUGAUGCAGCGACGCCGCGUGAACGAAGAAGGCUUUCGAGUCGUAAAGGUCUUUUAUAUGGGAAGAUAAUGACGGUACCAUAAGAAAAAGCCCCGGCUAACUACGUGCCAGCAGCCGCGGUAAUACGUAGGGGGCUAGCGUUGUCCGGAAUCACUGGGCGUAAAGGGUUCGCAGGCGGAAAUGCAAGUCAGGUGUAAAAGGCAGUAGCUUAACUACUGUAAGCAUUUGAAACUGCAUAUCUUGAGCAGAGUAGAGGUAAGUGGACUUUUUAGUGUAGCGGUGAAAUGCGUAGAUAUUAAAAAGAAUACCGGUGGCGAAGGCGACUUACUGGGCUCAUUCUGACGCUGAGGAACGAAAGCGUGGGUAGCAAACAGG
This 403-nucleotide ribosomal RNA is filed under the name bacterium. RNAcentral describes it as "partial 16S ribosomal RNA". It matches the Rfam family "Bacterial small subunit ribosomal RNA", at positions 355 to 776 of the family's 1533-position model. The record is from RNAcentral.